UACGGAGGGUGCGAGCGUUAAUCGGAAUUACUGGGCGUAAAGCGUGCGCAGGCGGUUUGUUAAGCGAGAUGUGAAAGCCCCGGGCUCAACCUGGGAACCGCUUUUCGAACUGGCAAGCUAGAGUCUUGUAGAGGGGGGUAGAAUUCCAGGUGUAGCGGUGAAAUGCGUAGAGAUCUGGAGGAAUACCGGUGGCGAAGGCGGCCCCCUGGACAAAGACUGACGCUCAGGCACGAAAGCGUGGGGAGCAAACAGG
This 253-nucleotide ribosomal RNA is filed under the name uncultured microorganism. Its description in RNAcentral is "partial 16S ribosomal RNA". It matches the Rfam family "Bacterial small subunit ribosomal RNA", at positions 524 to 776 of the family's 1533-position model. The record is from RNAcentral.